Molecule: ribosomal RNA, 460 nt
Filed under: uncultured bacterium
Lineage: Bacteria
Description: partial 16S ribosomal RNA
Rfam family: Bacterial small subunit ribosomal RNA
Source: RNAcentral
CCUACGGGUGGCAGCAGUGAGGAAUAUUGGGCAAUGGGCGCGAGCCUGAACCAGCCAAGUAGCGUGAAGGAUGACUGCCCUAAGGGUUGUAAACUUCUUUUAUAAAGGAAUAAAGUGGGGCAUGUGUGCCCUUUUGUAUGUACUUUAUGAAUAAGGAUCGGCUAACUCCGUGCCAGCAGCCGCGGUAAUACGGAGGAUCCGAGCGUUAUCCGGAUUUAUUGGGUUUAAAGGGAGCGUAGGUGGGUUGUUAAGUCAGUUGUGAAAGUUUGCGGCUCAACCGUAAAAUUGCAAUUGAGACUGGCAGCCUUGAGUACAGUAGAGGUAGGCGGAAUUCGUGGUGUAGCGGUGAAAUGCUUAGAUAUCACGAAGAACUCCGAUUGCGAAGGCAGCUUACUGGACUGCAACUGACAUUGAUGCUCGAAAGUGUGGGUAUCAAACAGGAUUAGAUACCCUUGUAGUC